GGUUGUGGCUCAGCAGUAGAGCGCUCGCCUAGCACAUGCAAAGAGGCCCUGGGUUCAAUUCUCAGCACCA
Molecule: transfer RNA, 70 nt
Filed under: Marmota monax (woodchuck)
Lineage: Eukaryota; Metazoa; Chordata; Mammalia; Rodentia; Sciuridae
Description: tRNA.Ala
Source: RNAcentral